AUUGAACGCUGGCGGCAUGCCUUACACAUGCAAGUCGAACGGCAGCACGGGAGCAAUCCUGGUGCGAGUGGCGAACGGGUGAGUAAUACAUCGGAACGUGUCCAGUAGUGGGGGAUAGCCCGGCGAAAGCCGGAUUAAUACCGCAUACGACCUACGGGUGAAAGCGGGGGAUCGCAAGACCUUGCGCUAUCGGAGCGGCCGAUGUCAGAUUAGCUAGUUGGUGGGGAGAAGCCUACCAAGGCGACGAUCUGUAGCUGGUCUGAGAGGACGACCAGCCACACUGGGACUGAGACACGGCCCAGACUCCUACGGGAGGCAGCAGUGGGGAAUUUUGGACAAUGGGCGCAAGCCUGAUCCAGCCA
RNAcentral lists this ribosomal RNA (362 nucleotides) under uncultured bacterium. RNAcentral describes it as "bacterial SSU rRNA". It matches the Rfam family "Bacterial small subunit ribosomal RNA", at positions 29 to 394 of the family's 1533-position model. The record is from RNAcentral.